Molecule: long non-coding RNA, 1015 nt
Organism: Toxorhynchites rutilus septentrionalis
Lineage: Eukaryota; Metazoa; Arthropoda; Insecta; Diptera; Culicidae
Exons: 4
Source: RefSeq, a predicted model, not a curated record
GAGUGCUUCGAGCUUAGAGCUAUUAACAAUCAUACUUUACCGAAUGGAACAACGUAUGCGGUGUCCCAAAGGAUUCAAUAAUUUCCCGGAGAUUCGUGGUGGCGACAUUGAAAAACAUAUUUUAAUCAGAUGGCAAGGAAUUGACAAAGAGCAUAAGCUUGAGCUUUAAAAGAAGACGGGAAGGAUUUAUUGAGACUAUCCGGACGCCCUGUCCCCCAGACACCUUAUUAUGGGCCAACCUGUUCUAUCCUCGAUCUGGGAUUUAGCGAAUGGAUUCAGAUCUACCUACACUCGCAAAUCUGCGGCCGAGAAUGUGCCCAAUGGUUUACCAUUCAUAUCUGAGACCUCGUAGGAACUAGUACCCUUCCUGGCCAUAAUGAUGCAGGGUGUAUAAAUCGGUCCUAGCUUCGCAUUGAAGUCCUUAACCGCGGAAGAUUGAAGAAAAGUGCGUUUGAACACUCGUUGACCCACAGUAAAAGUAGGUAUAGUGGUAAUAUUCGCGGCAAGCAUGGCUAUUCUGCACUCGUCCCGGGUAUUUCGGAAAAGGACGUCGAAUUUCCGUCUCUCAUCCCAUGGAUUGGACUUGCUACGAAAAAUCCGGACCAUGUCCAAGUAAAAGUCCUGGAACUUUUCUUUAGCACCUUGCUUUCGAUUGUUAGCCUGUCGUUCAUAGACGUAAUCAAUGUCAAUUGGUAAGAACUCAUUUACUGGAAUCUUGCGUAUCUUCAGUUCAUAUUCCAACUCAUCUAUUGUUAAUUGAGCGGCAUUCAUAGCUCGAUAUUGCGACACAAAAUGAGACAUCGCCAUUUUUGAGGACUGCUUGUACAAAAGAACACCAGGACAAUGAAUAAUACAGACUUUAAAAAGAUAACACUUUUAUUUCAUACACAAUUAUACAAUUUAAAAACACGAUCAAUGAAAUACUGUUACAAAUAGAUUAAAAAUUGUUGUAAAUUAAAAAAAAAAUAGAAUAUUGAAUUAAUAUUAUUUUUGACUAGUAUAAGUAAAGAUUUUA